RNAcentral lists this ribosomal RNA (432 nucleotides) under Elliptoideus sloatianus. Its description in RNAcentral is "partial 28S large subunit ribosomal RNA". Lineage: Eukaryota; Metazoa; Mollusca; Bivalvia; Unionida; Unionidae. The record is from RNAcentral.
UUAGAGGCAAACGGGUGGACCCGCAAUACGUCGACCCGGGGGAUUCAACCAGGCCGUGCGUUCGGGACGCGUGAGGGUUAUGCGGAGCUGUAAAGCCCGUGCCUUCGCGUAGGUCUCCGGGCGGACUGGUGCACUUUCCUCGGGUUGAUUGCCACGACCGGCUCUCCGUGCGGCCACAAGCCUUUGCUGGGAAGGUGACCGUCGGCCUCCGCGCCGGCGGUGUUAUAGACCAGCUUGUUCGUUGAGCUCGUCGGAGGGCCGAGGAAGUGUUGCCGUUUCUCAGCCACCCUCCGGCCAUCCUUGCUCGUCACGACUGGGGUGAACUGCUUCGUCAGUGCUCUCCCGACCGCGAGCGUAGGAAGGGCUGGUACGGUGCGAGAAAGCUUCGGGCCAGUGGCGAAUCGGUCGGUCCUCCACCCGACCCGUCUUGAA